AGGAUGAACGCUGGCGGCGUGCCUAACACAUGCAAGUCGAACGUCCUGUCUCGCAAGAGGCAGGGAGUGGCGGACGGGUGAGUACCACGUGGGUCAUCUACCGUGAGGUGAGGAAUACCGGCGAGAAAUCGCCGACAAGACCGCAUAGGCUCGAUGCAAGUCGAGCAAAGCUCUUUCGAGAGAGGGAGCGCCACACGAGGAGCCUGCGCCCGAUUAGCUAGCUGGUGGAGUAACGGUUCACCAGGGCGACGAUCGGUAGCUGGUCUGAGAGGACGAUCAGCCACACUGGGAUUGAGAACGGCCCAGACUCCUACGGGGGGCAGCAGUGAGGAAUUUUCGUCAAUGGGGGCAACCCUGAACGAGCAACGCCGCGUGCAGGAAGAAGGUUUCGGAUCGUAAACUGCUUUUCUCGGGGAAGAGAACGGACGGUACCCGAGGAAUCGAGCCCCGGCUAACUACGUGCCAGCAGCCGCGGU
RNAcentral lists this ribosomal RNA (476 nucleotides) under uncultured bacterium. RNAcentral's name for it is "SSU rRNA". It matches the Rfam family "Bacterial small subunit ribosomal RNA", at positions 26 to 521 of the family's 1533-position model. The record is from RNAcentral.